This 465-nucleotide ribosomal RNA is filed under the name uncultured bacterium. RNAcentral describes it as "partial 16S ribosomal RNA". It matches the Rfam family "Bacterial small subunit ribosomal RNA", at positions 338 to 795 of the family's 1533-position model. The record is from RNAcentral.
CCUACGGGAGGCAGCAGUGGGGAAUUUUGCACAAUGCUCGUAAGAGUGACGCAGCGACGCCGCGUGAAUGACGAAGGCCUUCGGGUCGUAAAGUUCUUUCGACAGGGAAGAAAAUGCCUAUAAGUAACUGUGUAUGUAUUGACGGUACCUGUAUAAGCAGCCCCGGCUAACUCCGUGCCAGCAGCCGCGGUAAUACGGAGGGGGCGAGCGUUGUUCGGAGGGACUGGGCGUAAAGAGCACGUAGGCGGUGUUGUAAGUCAUUAGUCAAAGACUAGAGCUCAACUUUAGUAAGGCUAGUGAUACUAUAAUACUAGAGUAUCAGAGAGGAUUGCAGAAUUCCUGGUGUAGCGGUGAAAUGCGUAGAUAUCAGGAGGAAUACCGUUAGCGAAGGCGGCAAUCUGGCUGGAAACUGACGCUGAGGUGCGAAAGCGUGGGUAGCAAACAGGAUUAGAUACCCUUGUAGUC